This 990-nucleotide long non-coding RNA is filed under the name Coturnix japonica (Japanese quail). RNAcentral's name for it is "lncRNA (ENSCJPG00005012507.1)". Lineage: Eukaryota; Metazoa; Chordata; Aves; Galliformes; Phasianidae. The record is from RNAcentral.
AGAAUGGCUUGGGUUGCCAGGGGCCUUAAAGAUCAUCUAGCUCCAAUCCCCUACCAUGGACAGGGUUGCCAAUCACUAAAUCAGUCACCAGAUCUGGUUGCCCAGGGCCUCAUCCAACCAAGCGUGCUGGUUACUAGGUCACCAGCCAGGCCACAGUGCAACCUUGCUACACGCCGUGUGAAGUUCUGCAGGCUGUAAAGGGUAUUAACGUCCUCUGGUAGUGCUCUUUGCAGUCUUGAGCACCUAUGGGCCUUCUGAUGGGUGAAGAAUGAUCACUUCAGUGCUGAGCACUGAUCUUGUUGGAUAUCCAGUGAAACCAGGGCAGCAGAAAGCUGCCCCAGUCAGCCCCAUCCCAGACCCUCUAUCUUCAGAUGUUCGUGAUUGGGAAAAAGUGUGCUGUAACAAAAAAGAAGCCUGUCAGUAUAGCAGCUGCAGCAGCUGACUGACUGGUUCCUGUUUCUGUCCCUCCGACCUGCCAGCAGCUCAGCAGAUGCUCAAGGAUGUCACCCAGCUCAAACUGUUUCCUUUCCAUGUCUGGUAUUUGCCAACUCUCUUCUAAUGAGAUGUCCUCACUUGGAAUUUAUACAGGUGCACUUCAAGAGGAAGAACUUGAACUUCUGCACAUGUGGCUGUUCUGCACAGCUGAAUAUCUGUGUGACCUGGUAUAUCAACAGUCAACGUCCCCCGGAAAAGCUUUGCAGAUUUGGGUCGGCUCCCUGGUUGAAGGAUGUAAGGAAUGAAAAGAGACCAUGGAGAGAAGGAGGUGACAUAGAGAGAAUGACUGAGUGCCUGGAGUUUCCCUCUGAACACCAGACGAAAAUGUGGAGCAUCUGGUCAGGAAAACCACACUUCAGAAGAUUUAAAUAUAGUGUCUUGUUAUCUCAGUCUAUUUCCUUGACAGAACAUGAGGCUGAAUAUCUUUUUGUUGAAUUUCUUUCUCUCUUUUUUUUCAUAAAGAAGCUGAUAAAUCAGGAGGAUUACAGGGAAUGA